ACAGAGAGUGCAAACGUUGUUCGGAAUUACUGGGCGUAAAGGGCUCGUAGGCGGCCAACUCAGUCGGACGUGAAAUCCCUCGGCUUAACCGGGGAACUGCGUCCGAUACUGGAUGGCUCGAGUGUGGGAGAGGGAUGCGGAAUUCCAGGUGUAGCGGUGAAAUGCGUAGAUAUCUGGAGGAACACCGGUGGCGAAGGCGGCAUCCUGGACUACUACUGACGCUGAGGAGCGAAAGCCAGGGGAGCAAACGGGA
This 253-nucleotide ribosomal RNA is filed under the name uncultured prokaryote. Its description in RNAcentral is "partial 16S ribosomal RNA". It matches the Rfam family "Bacterial small subunit ribosomal RNA", at positions 525 to 777 of the family's 1533-position model. The record is from RNAcentral.